UAUCGAAUUCAAUUUGAUCAAACAUACAUUGGUCUGGAAAUUAGACUUAUUCUUCUCUUCAUUUUCUUUCAGAAGAAAAUUAACAAUUUUGUAUAUUGCAUAUUUUCAAAGUUUUAUAAAGAUGCAAAGUGGAGAAAGUCUUGAGAACAAGUAUGUUUCUAGUCGUAUUCAAACUUUUCAAAGAUGACUUUGUGUGUAUUUCAGAAUAUUUUAAUAUUUUCAUAUACAUGUAUAUACUGAGCAGGAAGAACGCAUAAGUAUAUAUAUCAUAGAAUGUUGAAAUCUUCCAAGGAAGAGUGUUGAUUUAUCUAAAACAUCUAAAGUUUUGACUGAAUUCAAGUUGAAUUCAUCUUAGCUAUGGUACACUAUGCAAUUCGUCUUUCUAUUAUAUUGAUGCAGAUUAUAUACACGUAUCUCACAUGCAUCGAGGUCUGAAUCUAUAUAUAUGAUGUCUGAAGAUGAGAUUAUAAAAUGUAUAACGAUUGUCCUUUUUGGCAGAAACCUUUUUUCUUGGUUUAGAUAAAUAUUCCAUGAAAAUAGAGGAAAGGUACAGAUAUUGGAGGUUAUUUUCGUAUUCUACCAAAAUGAUUUGUUUCUUGAUUAUGAAUACUUAUUGAUUUCUUGAAGUAGUCAAAUUGUGUGAACUUGAUGUUUUUAUCUAUAUACAAAAAAAAAGGUGAAAGGCAGAAAAGUAGUAAAUUGAUGUUUUUGUUUUAGAUUGAAAGCUUUUCGAGUACUACGAAACUUUCGAAUUGGAUUUACGCUUGUAAAUUACUGUCAAAAUUCAAGUAUGACAUUUUGUGAUAUCAAUGUUUCAUUAUCAUGUUUUGAAAGAUGUAGUUUGAGUUUCUCAUCAUUUGUAUAUAGUACUUAGUGUAUCAUCUUAUGGUUGAUGGUAUAAUUUUACAGCCAAGGAAUGUGAUUUCGUGAAAAAUUUCUAGGAAACGUUCAUGUAUACUUAGUCUAGUAGCGUAAAUUUAUCUUUUAGAAGUAUACAUGUAUGUAGUCUAUAAAGUAGUCUAUAAAGUACUUAAAUUUAGAUUUAUUCAUUGCAGAUGUUUUCUUGAGGUAAAUUAAUGCUUAAUUUAAAGGAGCCAUGUGAUGAAAGUACAUCUGAAUUGAUAAAUUAGCGCACCAAAAUUAGCGCAGAAGUGAUUUAGCACUUUUUGUAUAUAUACUUUCACUAUUGCACUACCUGAUUAAUAUAUUUGUAUCUAGCACUCCCUUAGUCAAUGUGUUCACUUACAUAGCACCAUGACAGUGCAUUUGAAUUUUGGACAUUGGGUUGUGUGAGGGACCAGGAUUUUGCCCUUCAAAAUCACAAACAUCCUGGCUCAGAAGACAAUUAAUUUACUUGAGAAAGCAAGCAAAGAGUUUUCACGGAUUAAAGAUAUCAAUCAGAUUAAAGGAACGAAUUGGUUUGAAAGAAGGAUUAAAAGUACCAAUUGGAUUCAAAGGAUUAAAACUACCAAUUGGAUUGAUUGUAUGGAUUUGAUAUCAGAUUAAUCGAUUAAACAACGAAAUCCUGUAGAGGCCUUUGUUCGCUUGUCUUUUGUUGUCGACCUCACUACAGCCACA
This 1578-nucleotide long non-coding RNA is filed under the name Lytechinus variegatus (green sea urchin). Its description in RNAcentral is "uncharacterized LOC121424679". The record is from RNAcentral. Lineage: Eukaryota; Metazoa; Echinodermata; Echinoidea; Temnopleuroida; Toxopneustidae.